CUUUAGCCCACUAGUAUCCCCUCCCCCAUCCAUGGUUGUGUCCAGCGGUGCAGGUGGAGAUAUGUGUACAGUCACCGCCACUGUCUGUCAGGAUUACUGGGGCAGGUUCCUACAAUAUAGGAUCUGCUCAGUGGAUAUCUCCUAUAUAAGAUCCUUCUCCUUACUGACCCGUCGAGGAUGGAUAGGGAGAAGAUGGCAGAGCAUUUUAUAAAUCUCACCCUAGAGAUCCUCUUCCGGCUUACUGGAGAGGACUACACAGUAGUGAAGAAGACCUCUAGUGAGCGCUGUCAGGACCCUGUGUCU
This is a long non-coding RNA of Bufo gargarizans (Asiatic toad), 303 nucleotides long. RefSeq lists it as uncharacterized. The transcript is spliced from 3 exons. Lineage: Eukaryota; Metazoa; Chordata; Amphibia; Anura; Bufonidae. The record is from RefSeq and is a predicted model, not a curated record.